UGCCAGCCGCCGCGGUAAUACGGAGGGUGUAAGCGUUAAUCGGAAUUACUGGGCGUAAAGCGCGCGUAGGCGGCUCUUUAAGUCGGAUGUGAAAGCCCCGGGCUCAACCUGGGAACUGCAUCCGAUACUGGGGAGCUAGAGUGUAGGAGAGGGAGGUAGAAUUCCAUGUGUAGCAGUGAAAUGCGUAGAUAUAUGGAGGAAUACCAGUGGCGAAGGCGGCCUCCUGGCUUAACACUGACGCUGAGGUGCGAAAGCGUGGGGAGCAAACAGGAUUAGAUA
Molecule: ribosomal RNA, 279 nt
Filed under: uncultured bacterium
Lineage: Bacteria
Description: partial 16S ribosomal RNA
Rfam family: Bacterial small subunit ribosomal RNA
Source: RNAcentral